UACGAGAGGUGCAAGCGUUACUCGGAAUCACUGGGCGUAAAGCGCACGUAGGCGGAUUCGAAAGUCAAUUGUGAAAGCCCCGAGCUCAACUUGGGAAUUGCAGUUGAAACUUCGUUUCUUGAAUAUCUGAGAGGGUGGGGGAAUACCUAGUGGAGAAGUGAAAUUCGUAGAGAUUAGGUGGAACACCAGAGGCGAAGGCGCCUGCCUGGCAGAAUAUUGACGCUGAGGUGCGAAAGUGCGGGGAGCAAACAGG
Molecule: ribosomal RNA, 253 nt
Filed under: uncultured bacterium
Lineage: Bacteria
Description: partial 16S ribosomal RNA
Rfam family: Bacterial small subunit ribosomal RNA
Source: RNAcentral